CAAAUUGUUUCUAUAAGCUUCUAACAAUUGAAGAUUGGCCAAAUUACCAAUUUCAGACGGUAAUUUGCCUGUGAGGCUGUUGUUGAUGAGGCUUACGAACAACAAUUCAGUGCAGUUGCAUAUACUAUCAGGUAUUUCACCAGAAAGAAAGUUUCGGUAAAGAAUGAGCUGAACCAUCUCAGUGCAACGCCCCAGCUUGGCUGGAAUAUUUCCAGUAAAUGAAUUCAAAGUUAGAUCAAGAACCUGGAGUUUGGAGAGGUUCCCUAUAAACGGAGAAAUCUCGCCUUUGAGAUGCAUCCCAACAAGCGAAAUGUUGAUGACAUGGUUUGAAGAAGGAUCACAUAUGAUUCCAGACCAGUUGCAAAUGUGAUUUGCAUCAGUCCAAUCCACAAGUGCACCAAAAGGGUCAUCAGUGACUGAAUUCUUAAAGGCUUUCAAAGCAGCAACUUCUACUUCCAAACUUGGAGUUUGCCCAAAGGACAAAGCUAUGAAAAAGGUACUAAAAGAAAUGGCUAAUGCAUAUACAUUUGUCUUUGACAUCAUUGGUUCAAAAGAAAGAAGUUUCACUCUCUUUACAAACUUAAGCUGAAAAUGAAUAGUUUAUACAUUUUUUAAUGAUAUUUGCUCACUGUUUUCUGUUGAAGAAGUCAACUAAUCAUCAAAACUAAAGUAAAAUCUUGUAUUCUAUGAAGUUGUCAAAAUUCCUACAAAAACUAGUCCUGUUAAUAGAAAAUUGAGUGCAUUCACAUUA
Molecule: long non-coding RNA, 751 nt
Organism: Solanum pennellii
Lineage: Eukaryota; Viridiplantae; Streptophyta; Magnoliopsida; Solanales; Solanaceae
Exons: 2
Source: RefSeq, a predicted model, not a curated record